CAGCCGCCGCGGUAAUACGGAGGUAGCUAGCGUUGUUCGGAAUUACUGGGCGUAAAGCGCGCGUAGGCGGUUACUCAAGUCAGAGGUGAAAGCCCGGGGCUCAACCCCGGAACUGCCUUUGAAACUAGGUGACUAGAAUCUUGGAGAGGUCAGUGGAAUUCCGAGUGUAGAGGUGAAAUUCGUAGAUAUUCGGAAGAACACCAGUGGCGAAGGCGACUGACUGGACAAGUAUUGACGCUGAGGUGCGAAAGCGUGGGGAGCAAACAGGAUUAGAUACCCCCGUAGUCCCUGUCUCUUAUAC
RNAcentral lists this ribosomal RNA (301 nucleotides) under uncultured bacterium. RNAcentral's name for it is "partial 16S ribosomal RNA". It matches the Rfam family "Bacterial small subunit ribosomal RNA", at positions 509 to 807 of the family's 1533-position model. The record is from RNAcentral.